This 751-nucleotide ribosomal RNA is filed under the name Bacillus halotolerans. Its description in RNAcentral is "bacterial SSU rRNA". It matches the Rfam family "Bacterial small subunit ribosomal RNA", at positions 63 to 796 of the family's 1533-position model. The record is from RNAcentral. Lineage: Bacteria; Bacillati; Bacillota; Bacilli; Caryophanales; Bacillaceae.
CGAGCGGACAGAUGGGAGCUUGCUCCCUGAUGUUAGCGGCGGACGGGUGAGUAACACGUGGGUAACCUGCCUGUAAGACUGGGAUAACUCCGGGAAACCGGGGCUAAUACCGGAUGCUUGUUUGAACCGCAGGGUUCAAACAUAAAAGGUGGCUUCGGCUACCACUUACAGAUGGACCCGCGGCGCAUUAGCUAGUUGGUGAGGUAAUGGCUCACCAAGGCAACGAUGCGUAGCCGACCUGAGAGGGUGAUCGGCCACACUGGGACUGAGACACGGCCCAGACUCCUACGGGAGGCAGCAGUAGGGAAUCUUCCGCAAUGGACGAAAGUCUGACGGAGCAACGCCGCGUGAGUGAUGAAGGUUUUCGGAUCGUAAAGCUCUGUUGUUAGGGAAGAACAAGUACCGUUCGAAUAGGGCGGUACCUUGACGGUACCUAACCAGAAAGCCACGGCUAACUACGUGCCAGCAGCCGCGGUAAUACGUAGGUGGCAAGCGUUGUCCGGAAUUAUUGGGCGUAAAGGGCUCGCAGGCGGUUCCUUAAGUCUGAUGUGAAAGCCCCCGGCUCAACCGGGGAGGGUCAUUGGAAACUGGGGAACUUGAGUGCAGAAGAGGAGAGUGGAAUUCCACGUGUAGCGGUGAAAUGCGUAGAGAUGUGGAGGAACACCAGUGGCGAAGGCGACUCUCUGGUCUGUAACUGACGCUGAGGAGCGAAAGCGUGGGGAGCGAACAGGAUUAGAUACCCUGGUAGUCC